GCCAGGGAUAACCUGGAGGAAGGUGGGGAUGACGUCAAAUCAUCAUGCCCCUUAUGCUUAGGGCUACACACGUGCUACAAUGGGUAGUACAGAGGGUUGCCAAGCCGUAAGGCGGAGCUAAUCCCUUAAAGCUACUCUCAGUUCGGAUUGUAGGCUGAAACUCGCCUACAUGAAGCUGGAGUUACUAGUAAUCGCAGAUCAGAAUGCUGCGG
This 212-nucleotide ribosomal RNA is filed under the name Clostridioides difficile. RNAcentral's name for it is "partial 16S ribosomal RNA". It matches the Rfam family "Bacterial small subunit ribosomal RNA", at positions 1151 to 1362 of the family's 1533-position model. Lineage: Bacteria; Bacillati; Bacillota; Clostridia; Peptostreptococcales; Peptostreptococcaceae. The record is from RNAcentral.